Molecule: ribosomal RNA, 497 nt
Filed under: uncultured bacterium
Lineage: Bacteria
Description: partial 16S ribosomal RNA
Rfam family: Bacterial small subunit ribosomal RNA
Source: RNAcentral
GAUGGACGCUGGCGGCGUGCCUAAUACAUGCCAGUCGAGCGAACAGAUGAGGAGCUUGCUCCUCUGACGUUAGCGGCGGACGGGUGAGUAACACGUGGAUAACCUACCUAUAAGACUGGGAUAACUUCGGGAAACCGGAGCUAAUACCGGAUAAUAUAUUGAACCGCAUGGUUCAAUAGUGAAAGACGGUUUUGCUGUCACUUAUAGAUGGAUCCGCGCCGCAUUAGCUAGUUGGUAAGGUAACGGCUUACCAAGGCAACGAUGCGUAGCCGACCUGAGAGGGUGAUCGGCCACACUGGAACUGAGACACGGUCCAGACUCCUACGGGAGGCAGCAGUAGGGAAUCUUCCGCAAUGGGCGAAAGCCUGACGGAGCAACGCCGCGUGAGUGAUGAAGGUCUUCGGAUCGUAAAACUCUGUUAUUAGGGAAGAACAAAUGUGUAAGUAACUAUGCACGUCUUGACGGUACCUAAUCAGAAAGCCACGGCUAACUACGUG